This 181-nucleotide ribosomal RNA is filed under the name uncultured Staphylococcus sp. RNAcentral's name for it is "partial 16S ribosomal RNA". It matches the Rfam family "Bacterial small subunit ribosomal RNA", at positions 159 to 334 of the family's 1533-position model. The record is from RNAcentral. Lineage: Bacteria; Bacillati; Bacillota; Bacilli; Caryophanales; Staphylococcaceae.
GGAGCUAAUACAGGAUAAUAUAUUGAACCGCAUGGUUCAAUAGUGAAAGACGGUUUUGCUGUCACUUAUAGAUGGAUCCGCGCCGCAUUAGCUAGUUGGUAAGGUAACGGCUUACCAAGGCAACGAUGCGUAGCCGACCUGAGAGGGUGAUCGGCCACACUGGAACUGAGACACGGUCCAG